AUGAUCUGGCCCAUUAUUGCAUCUCCAUUCUAUUCGUUGCUUCGUCUCCGUUUUGCUUGUCAAGCUCGAAAUACUCAGGCCUCGGCCAAUGGUGGAGAAGACAGACCCCAGGAAGGAUUUUGCGCUGCCGUCUUCUUUCGCCGGUCCGUGCCCUGGAAGAGCGACACCAGCCAGGCAUUGUAUGGGAAUGAAGCAAAAAGCAUGAAGAAAAUAGAGCAGGUCGUGUGUCAUCGUGCACGUGGUCUGCCUUCCAUUGGCGUUACUGCACCUGGUUAUCUACAGAGGAAGGCAAGGAUAACUAGAUUAAACAUUUCACAAGACCCUCCCAAUUACAGGCACAAACUCCUUCCAAGAUAUUACAAGUGUGGUUGA
This 372-nucleotide ribosomal RNA is filed under the name Triticum aestivum (bread wheat). Its description in RNAcentral is "partial small subunit ribosomal RNA". Lineage: Eukaryota; Viridiplantae; Streptophyta; Magnoliopsida; Poales; Poaceae. The record is from RNAcentral.